Molecule: small RNA, 3866 nt
Filed under: Pan troglodytes (chimpanzee)
Lineage: Eukaryota; Metazoa; Chordata; Mammalia; Primates; Hominidae
Description: processed transcript
Source: RNAcentral
AGCUGAAGAGGGGAGAGAGACACCCUCCCCACCCCCAUAUGAGGAUGGUCUGUGAUGAUAUGCAUGCAGGGGAAGGGACUUAUCCAAGGUCCCUGAUAGAUAGGGACUGGAAUUUUGGCAGUGUCUUUUCUAGAGUAGAACAAAUUUAUCAGUUGAAUUUGCUGUAGUUCUCUGAAGGUUUCUUUGGCCACAUUAGAAUUUUUGAGCCCUGGCAUCCGUGUAGGCCAACUUCAAAAUGGCUGUGUGCUCCACUCAGAGAUUCUGCUGUGAAGACCGGCAGGAGAUUUUUUAGCCUAUUCUGAACUCCAACUGUUCCAGUUCCUCUUGCUUUCCAGAGGUGUGAGCACCUGGAAGCCCCUGCUCUGGUCUACACCCCAGGCUCAAGAUUCAUCCUGCUCACUCAGCCACUCAUGCUGUCACCAGCGAUAAAACUGAGAUGCAUUCCCCAGAACCAAGCAAACAAGAAGAGGGUCCUCCUUCAGUGGGCUGUCAUCGAUCAUUCCCCGUUCCAUGGCCUCAGGACUGCCUGCUGAUGAAAUCUAAAAGACCAGCUUGCAGAAGGCAUGGAAAUCCUGGGGUUAGGGGCCCCUCUGCUAUGGAGGUUGUCUUAGUCUUUGCUCUCAGCAUCGGUGCACUUGUAAUAUACUUCAUAGAUUCGUCAAACUCCUGGAGACUUCAUGGCAAACCAACAUAUUGAAUGCAGGAAAUUCCAGGGUGGCCAAGAAUAUUCUCCAGAAAUCCCAAUAGAAUCCUGCCAGAAUUUCUACAAAGAUUUCACAUUACAGAUCGACAUGGCUUUCAACGUGUUCUUCCUUCUCUACUUUGGCUUGCGGUUUAUUGCAGCCAACGAUAAAUUGUGGUUCUGGCUGGAAGUGAACUCUGUAGUGGAUUUCUUCACUGUGCCCCCCGUGUUUGUGUCUGUGUACUUAAACAGAAGUUGGCUUGGUUUGAGAUUUUUAAGAGCUCUGAGACUGAUACAGUUUUCAGAAAUUUUGCAGUUUCUGAAUAUUCUUAAAACAAGUAAUUCCAUCAAGCUGGUGAAUCUGCUCUCCAUAUUUAUCAGCACGUGGCUGACUGCAGCCGGGUUCAUCCAUUUGGUGGAGAAUUCAGGGGACCCAUGGGAAAAUUUCCAAAACAACCAGGCUCUCACCUACUGGGAAUGUGUCUAUUUACUCAUGGUCACAAUGUCCACCGUUGGUUAUGGGGAUGUUUAUGCAAAAACCACACUUGGGCGCCUCUUCAUGGUCUUCUUCAUCCUCGGGGGACUGGCCAUGUUUGCCAGCUACGUCCCUGAAAUCAUAGAGUUAAUAGGAAACCGCAAGAAAUACGGGGGCUCCUAUAGUGCGGUUAGUGGAAGAAAGCACAUUGUGGUCUGCGGACACAUCACUCUGGAGAGUGUUUCCAACUUCCUGAAGGACUUUCUGCACAAGGACCGGGACGACGUCAAUGUGGAGAUCGUUUUUCUUCACAACAUCUCCCCCAACCUGGAGCUUGAAGCUCUGUUCAAACGACAUUUUACUCAGGUGGAAUUUUAUCAGGGUUCCGUCCUCAAUCCACAUGAUCUUGCAAGAGUCAAGAUAGAGUCAGCAGAUGCAUGCCUGAUCCUUGCCAACAAGUACUGCGCUGACCCGGAUGCGGAGGAUGCCUCGAACAUCAUGAGAGUAAUCUCCAUAAAGAACUACCAUCCGAAGAUAAGAAUCAUCACUCAAAUGCUGCAGUAUCACAACAAGGCCCAUCUGCUAAACAUCCCGAGCUGGAAUUGGAAAGAAGGUGAUGACGCAAUCUGCCUCGCAGAGUUGAAGUUGGGCUUCAUAGCCCAGAGCUGCCUGGCUCAAGGCCUCUCCACCAUGCUUGCCAACCUCUUCUCCAUGAGGUCAUUCAUAAAGAUUGAGGAAGACACGUGGCAGAAAUACUACUUGGAAGGAGUCUCAAAUGAAAUGUACACAGAAUAUCUCUCCAGUGCCUUCGUGGGUCUGUCCUUCCCUACUGUUUGUGAGCUGUGUUUUGUGAAGCUCAAGCUCCUAAUGAUAGCCAUUGAGUACAAGUCUGCCAACCGAGAGAGCCGUAUAUUAAUUAAUCCUGGAAACCAUCUUAAGAUCCAAGAAGGUACUUUAGGAUUUUUCAUCGCAAGUGAUGCCAAAGAAGUUAAAAGGGCAUUUUUUUACUGCAAGGCCUGUCAUGAUGACAUCACAGAUCCCAAAAGAAUAAAAAAAUGUGGCUGCAAACGGCUCAAGGUUGCAGCUAGAUCACGCUAUUCCAAAGAUCCAUUUGAGUUCAAGAAGGAGACUCCCAAUUCUCGGCUUGUGACCGAGCCAGUUGAAGAUGAGCAGCCAUCAACACUAUCACCAAAAAAAAAGCAACGGAAUGGAGGCAUGCGGAACUCACCCAACACCUCGCCUAAGCUGAUGAGGCAUGACCCCUUGUUAAUUCCUGGCAAUGAUCAGAUUGACAACAUGGACUCCAAUGUGAAGAAGUACGACUCUACUGGGAUGUUUCACUGGUGUGCACCCAAGGAGAUAGAGAAAGUCAUCCUGACUCGAAGUGAAGCUGCCAUGACCGUCCUGAGUGGCCAUGUCGUGGUCUGCAUCUUUGGCGAUGUCAGCUCAGCCCUGAUCGGCCUCCGGAACCUGGUGAUGCCGCUCCGUGCCAGCAACUUUCAUUACCAUGAGCUCAAGCACAUUGUGUUUGUGGGCUCUAUUGAGUACCUCAAGCGGGAAUGGGAGACGCUUCAUAACUUCCCCAAAGUGUCCAUAUUGCCUGGUACGCCAUUAAGUCGGGCUGAUUUAAGGGCUGUCAACAUCAACCUCUGUGACAUGUGCGUUAUCCUGUCAGCCAAUCAGAAUAAUAUUGAUGAUACUUCGCUGCAGGACAAGGAAUGCAUCUUGGCGUCACUCAACAUCAAAUCUAUGCAGUUUGAUGACAGCAUUGGGGUCUUGCAGGCUAAUUCCCAAGGGUUCACACCUCCAGGAAUGGAUAGAUCCUCUCCAGAUAACAGCCCAGUGCACGGGAUGUUACGUCAACCAUCCAUCACAACUGGGGUCAACAUCCCCAUCAUCACUGAACUAGUGAACGAUACUAAUGUUCAGUUUUUGGACCAAGACGAUGAUGAUGACCCUGAUACAGAACUGUACCUCACGCAGCCCUUUGCCUGUGGGACAGCAUUUGCCGUCAGUGUCCUGGACUCACUCAUGAGCGCGACAUACUUCAAUGACAAUAUCCUCACCCUGAUACGGACCCUGGUGACCGGAGGAGCCACGCCGGAGCUGGAGGCUCUGAUUGCUGAGGAGAACGCCCUUAGAGGUGGCUACAGCACCCCGCAGACACUGGCCAAUAGGGACCGCUGCCGCGUGGCCCAGUUAGCUCUGCUCGAUGGGCCAUUUGCGGACUUAGGGGAUGGUGGUUGUUAUGGUGAUCUGUUCUGCAAAGCUCUGAAAACAUAUAAUAUGCUUUGUUUUGGAAUUUACCGGCUGAGAGAUGCUCACCUCAGCACCCCCAGUCAGUGCACAAAGAGGUAUGUCAUCACCAACCCGCCCUAUGAGUUUGAGCUCGUGCCGACGGACCUGAUCUUCUGCUUAAUGCAGUUUGACCACAAUGCCGGCCAGUCCCGGGCCAGCCUGUCCCAUUCCUCCCACUCGUCGCAGUCCUCCAGCAAGAAGAGCUCCUCUGUUCACUCCAUCCCAUCCACAGCAAACCGACAGAACCGGCCCAAGUCCAGGGAGUCCCGGGACAAACAGAAAAAAGAAAUGGUUUACAGAUGAACCGGAUAAUGCCUAUCCCAGAAACAUUCAAAUCAAGCCCAUGAGUACCCACAUGGCUAACCAGAUCAACCAAUAUAAAUCCACAAGCAGCUUGAUUCCACCAAUCAG